GCUGGGCAUGGUGGUACGUGCUUGUAGUCUCAGCUACUCGAGAGACUGAGGUGGGAGGAUUGCUUGAGCCCAGGAGUUCUAGACUAUAGUGUGCUAUGCCAAUUUGGUGUCUGCACUAAGUUCAGCAUCAAUAUGGUGACCUCCAGGGAGGGGGGACCACGAGGUUGCCUAAGGAGGGGUGAACUGGCCCAGGUCGGAAAUGGAGCUGGUCGAAAUUCCCAGGCUGAUCAGUAGUGGGAUCACACCUGUGAAUAGCCACUGCACUCCAGCCUGGGCAACAUAGCGAGACCCCAUCUCUU
Callithrix jacchus (white-tufted-ear marmoset) is the source of this 299-nucleotide unclassified non-coding RNA. It matches the Rfam family "Metazoan signal recognition particle RNA". Rfam says of the family: The signal recognition particle (SRP) is a universally conserved ribonucleoprotein. The record is from Ensembl. Lineage: Eukaryota; Metazoa; Chordata; Mammalia; Primates; Cebidae.